Triticum dicoccoides is the source of this 651-nucleotide long non-coding RNA. RefSeq lists it as uncharacterized. The record is from RefSeq and is a predicted model, not a curated record. The transcript has 5 exons. Lineage: Eukaryota; Viridiplantae; Streptophyta; Magnoliopsida; Poales; Poaceae.
CAAUCUCCGAGGAUUUCUCAAUGAAGCACAUGCUGAUGGUGCACUUGCCUUUGGAAUAAUUACUUUGCUCUACAACAGUAUGAAGGGUAAGCUAAUUCUAUUGUCACUGUGCUUCACACUUCUCUGUCAUGGUUUACAGAUUCAGAGCUAGCAAUUAUGCUAAAGGCAGAGACAGAGAAGGGGAUUAGUGGAGUGGAUUUUUCAUUUUCAGUACUGGGUUUUACCAUGACCCUGUCGUUGCCUCGUACUACAACAACAUAUAUGGUCAGUACUACAUCUAUGAGAAUGGAUAUUACGUGUUAUGGACUUCAGAUGCGGUACUUACAAGUUCAUCUGGUUACUCGAAAUUUCUCGAUGUGUCAUUUUCUUACAGAUAAAUACUUAAUAGGUACAGAGCUGCUGAGAGAAGGGUAGACAUAUCUACAAAGAGGGCCACAAGCCUAGUAUGAUUUGUCAGAGCGACAUCUACCCUCCCUGCCACAAAUGAUUGAUCCUUUUAACCAGUUUCAGAAUCCGAACUUUCGUUUCAUUAAACAAGAAAAGCGAGGUUGGUCGUCCAUGAUGCAUUUAUAGAUCCAUUUGAUGAUGAAUCCCAUCCCAUCUUGAAUACCCCUCCCUUCAUUUCAAAGUUAUGAACUGGAAUGCAUUUGC